GACGAACGCUGGCGGCGUGCCUAACACAUGCAAGUCGAACGAGAUCCAUGGGAGCUUGCUCCCGGAAGAUCUAGUGGCGAACGGGUGAGUAACACGUGAGAAACCUGCCCUGGAGUGGGGAAUAACUCGGGGAAACUCGAGCUAAUACCGCAUACCCUCGGAUGGUCGCAUGGCCGACCGAGGAAAAGAUUUAUCGCUCUAGGAGGGUCUCGCGGCCUAUCAGCUAGUUGGUGGGGUAACGGCCUACCAAGGCAACGACGGGUAGCUGGUUUGAGAGAACGAUCAGCCACACUGGGACUGAGACACGGCCCAGACUCCUACGGGAGGCAGCAGUGGGGAAUCUUGCGCAAUGGGCGAAAGCCUGACGCAGCAACGCCGCGUGCGGGAUGACGGCCUUCGUGGUUGUAAACCGCUUCAGCAGGGACGAAAAUGACGGUACCUGCAGAAGAAGCCCCGGCUAACUACGUGCCAGCAGCCGCGGUAAU
This 485-nucleotide ribosomal RNA is filed under the name uncultured bacterium. RNAcentral describes it as "bacterial SSU rRNA". It matches the Rfam family "Bacterial small subunit ribosomal RNA", at positions 28 to 524 of the family's 1533-position model. The record is from RNAcentral.